GAUGAACGCUGGCGGCGUGCCUAAUACAUGCAAGUCGAGCGAACAGACGAGGAGCUUGCUCCUCUGACGUUAGCGGCGGACGGGAGAGUAACACGUGUAUAACCUACCUAUAAGACUGGGAUAACUUCGGGAAACAGGCGCUAAUACCGGAUAAUAUAUUGAACCGCAUUGUUCAAUAGUGAAAUACGGUUUUUCUGUCACUUAUAGAUUGAUCCGCGCCGCAUUAGCUAGUUGGUAAGGUAACGGCUUACCAAGGCAACGAUGCGUAGCCGACCUGAGAGAGAGGUCGGCCAGAUGGGAAGGGAGAAACGGUCCAGACGCCGAGGGGAGGCCGCAGUAGGGAAUCUUACGCAAGGGGGGAAAGCCUGACGGAGCAACGCCGCGUGAGUGAUGAAGGUGUUCGGAUCGUAAAACGCUGUUAUGAGUGAAGAACAAAUGUGUAAGUAACUAUGCACGUCUUGACGGUACCGAAUCAGAAAGCCACGGCUAACUACGUG
RNAcentral lists this ribosomal RNA (497 nucleotides) under uncultured bacterium. RNAcentral's name for it is "partial 16S ribosomal RNA". It matches the Rfam family "Bacterial small subunit ribosomal RNA", at positions 28 to 507 of the family's 1533-position model. The record is from RNAcentral.